UGGGGGAUAUUGCACAAUGGGCGAAAGCCUGAUGCAGCGACGCCGCGUGGGGGAUGAAGGCCUUCGGGUUGUAAACUUCUUUUGCUCUGAACAAGGCAUGCUAAUGGGUGUGUUGAGUGUAGGGGUUGAUUAGCGCCGGCUAACUACGUGCCAGCAGCCGCGGUAAUACGUAGGGCGCGAGCGUUGUCCGGAAUUAUUGGGCGUAAAGGGCUUGUAGGUGGCUGGUUGCGUCUGUCGUGAAAGCUCAUGGCUUAACUGUGAGUUUGCGGUGGGUACGGGCUGGCUUGAGUGCAGUAGGGGAGGCUGGAAUUCCUGGUGUAGCGGUGGAAUGCGCAGAUAUCAGGAGGAAUACCGGUGGCGAAGGCGGGUCUCUGGGCUGUUACUGACACUGAGGAGCGAAAGCAUGGGGAGCGAACAGG
RNAcentral lists this ribosomal RNA (419 nucleotides) under bacterium. RNAcentral describes it as "partial 16S ribosomal RNA". It matches the Rfam family "Bacterial small subunit ribosomal RNA", at positions 355 to 776 of the family's 1533-position model. The record is from RNAcentral.